RNAcentral lists this ribosomal RNA (252 nucleotides) under uncultured bacterium. RNAcentral's name for it is "partial 16S ribosomal RNA". It matches the Rfam family "Bacterial small subunit ribosomal RNA", at positions 335 to 576 of the family's 1533-position model. The record is from RNAcentral.
ACUCCUACGGGAGGCAGCAGUGGGGAAUAUUGCACAAUGGGCGGCAAAGCCCUGAUGCAGCCAUGCCGCGUGUGUGAAGAAGGCCUUCGGGUUGUAAAGCACUUUCAGUCGUGAGGAAGUAGUGUAGUUAAUAGCUGCAUUAUUUGACGUUAGCGAACAGAAGAAGCACCGGCUAACUCCGUGCCAGCAGCCGCGGUAAUACGGAGGGUGCGAGCGUUAAUCGGAAUUACUGGGCGUAAAGCGCAUGCAGGU